CCAGCUCUCUUUGCCAUAUGGCUUAGAUCAAGUGUAGUAUCUGUUCUUUUCAGUUUAAUCUCUGAAACGCCUCGAAACGGGGCUUAUCGUGAUUAUUCCCAUUUUUGGUUGCAGGACGAGAGCGCCUCUGCGUUUACGCAUGGUUCUUGUCCACUGUGUCCCUGGUAUUACACUGCGUCCAGGUGAUGCGAACCUCG
Molecule: small nuclear RNA, 197 nt
Organism: Metarhizium majus ARSEF 297
Lineage: Eukaryota; Fungi; Ascomycota; Sordariomycetes; Hypocreales; Clavicipitaceae
Rfam family: U2 spliceosomal RNA
About the family: U2 is a small nuclear RNA (snRNA) component of the spliceosome (involved in pre-mRNA splicing). Complementary binding between U2 snRNA (in an area lying towards the 5' end but 3' to hairpin I) and the branchpoint sequence (BPS) of the intron results the bulging out of an unpaired adenosine, on the BPS, which initiates a nucleophilic attack at the intronic 5' splice site, thus starting the first of two transesterification reactions that mediate splicing.
Source: Rfam